CUCCUGGUAGCUUAGUUGGUUUAAAGCGCGAGACUGUAAAUCUUGAGAUCGGGUGUUCGACUCACCCCCGGGAGA
RNAcentral lists this transfer RNA (75 nucleotides) under Spathaspora arborariae UFMG-19.1A. RNAcentral's name for it is "tRNA-Tyr (GTA) (tRNA-Tyr-GTA-1 1 to 5)". It matches the Rfam family "tRNA". Rfam says of the family: Transfer RNA (tRNA) molecules are approximately 80 nucleotides in length. Their secondary structure includes four short double-helical elements and three loops (D, anti-codon, and T loops). Lineage: Eukaryota; Fungi; Ascomycota; Pichiomycetes; Serinales; Debaryomycetaceae. The record is from RNAcentral.